This 842-nucleotide ribosomal RNA is filed under the name uncultured bacterium. RNAcentral describes it as "bacterial SSU rRNA". It matches the Rfam family "Bacterial small subunit ribosomal RNA", at positions 8 to 846 of the family's 1533-position model. The record is from RNAcentral.
AGAGUUUGAUCCUGGCUCAGGACGAACGCUGGCGGCGUGCCUAACACAUGCAAGUCGAGCGGAGUCAGUAAGAGGAAAUUUUCGGAUGGAAUCUUAUUGAUUUAGCGGCGGACGGGUGAGUAACGCGUGAGCGACCAACCUUGCACAGGGGGAUAACGGACCGAAAGGUUCACUAAUACCGCAUGAGACCACGGUGUUGCAUGACACAGGGGUCAAAGGAGCAAUCCGGUGCAAGACGGGCUCGCGUCCGAUUAGGUAGUUGGAGGGGUAACGGCCCACCAAGCCUAUGAUCGGUAGCCGACCUGAGAGGGUGAUCGGCCACAUUGGAACUGAGAUACGGUCCAAACUCCUACGGGAGGCAGCAGUGGGGAAUAUUGGGCAAUGGGGGAAACCCUGACCCAGCAACGCCGCGUGAAGGAAGAAGGUUUUCGGAUUGUAAACUUCUGUCCUUGGUGAAGAGAAGAAGACGGUAGCCAAGGAGGAAGCCCCGGCUAACUACGUGCCAGCAGCCGCGGUAAUACGUAGGGGGCAAGCGUUGUCCGGAAUGAUUGGGCGUAAAGGGCGCGUAGGCGGCUUUAUAAGUCUGGAGUGAAAGUCCUCUUUUCAAGGGAGGAAUUGCUUUGGAAUCUAUAGAGCUUGAGUGCAGGAGAGGUUAUCGGAAUUCCCGGUGUAGCGGUGAAAUGCGUAGAUAUCGGGAGGAACAUCGGUGGCGAAGGCGGGUAACUGGACUGCAACUGACGCUGAGGCGCGAAAGUGUGGGGAGCAAACAGGAUUAGAUACCCUGGUAGUCCACACGGUAAACGAUGAAUGCUAGGUGUAGGAGGUAUCGACCCCUUCUGUGC